UCUUAUUCCAAAUAAUAAUGGUAUGUUUUCAGAUUUAUGGUGUUGCUCCUUUCCUUCUCCUGCUCCAUCACUUCACUCUUUCCCUCUCCUACCCUGAUGGCAGAUAAUACAUAACUCAUAAAAUAUAUUGGUGUGGAUACGAUGCUGAGAUGGGAUUUUUGUUUCUUCAUUCUUUUAGUAGGGGAAGAUGAACAGACACAUAGAGAUGGAUGGGUGAAGUGAAGUAGAAUAUUACUGAAUAAUCUUCAACCUUGAAUGAGGAAAAUGAGAUACAGGAUGCCUAAUGUUUCAUUGACAUCCAUGAAAAGAGACAUGAAAACAUCCAAAUCUCUCUCAGUGGAAGAAAGUUAAGGGGACCACAUGCAGAACCACAGCUCCACUGAGCAUGGUGACCCUGGCAGGACAACAGGGAUCCCAUCCGUGCACCUGUCCUUGUGUGGCCAGAGGGAGAGGCCGUGCCUCGUGCAUCAAGAAGAAAAUCAUGUUUGGAAGCUAUUCUAUAAUGAGUUUGAUAUGAUUCUGAAUCUUGGAACAGUGAUGAUUGUGCACAGAACACCAGUUAACAUGUCCUGUCCCAGUAAAGGAGAAGCUGUGGUCAUAGGAUAACAGUCCCAAGGAGCAGUCACCCAGAGGCUGAUCCCUGAUGACUUGCAAUCAAUAGUCUGUGAAACAAUAAGGUCAGGAGUGUGAAGAUUCAGAUUUUCUGCCUCUAAACACGGACCCAUGUGCUGGGCCACUGAGAAGAGUAUGACCUGAGCUCGUUGCCUGAUAGAAGAAUGGAGUCGGAGGAAAGGGAUUCAAAGUACCUGGAGAUAUGUAGAGCUGUUAAUAUGGUGUCUGUCCUCUUCACAGAGACAGCUGGGGGAAAGUGUAAACUUACAAUAGAUGUGACUGAAAAAUGUCAGCUUCUUGUUAAACCUUAAGCAGCGAUGGACCCUGAAACUGGAAUUCUAAGUCCCAUAUGCUGCCAUGCAACCCUGCAAAAAGAUGAAGAACAUUCACAAGCCCAGUCAUAAGAUCAGUUUUUGCAGUGAAGAUAAAGUAGGAGUUUAGGUUAUUUUUCAGGGUUCUUUUUUUUUUUUUUUUUUUUU
Parus major (Great Tit) is the source of this 1091-nucleotide long non-coding RNA. RefSeq lists it as uncharacterized. Lineage: Eukaryota; Metazoa; Chordata; Aves; Passeriformes; Paridae. The record is from RefSeq and is a predicted model, not a curated record. The transcript is spliced from 3 exons.